AGAUUGAACGCUGGCGGCAGGCCUAACACAUGCAAGUCGAGCGGCAGCACGGGUACUUGUACCUGGUGGCGAGCGGCGGACGGGUGAGUAAUGCCUAGGAAUCUGCCUGAUAGUGGGGGGAUAACGUUCGGAAACGGACGCUAAUACCGCAUACGUCCUACGGGAGAAAGUGGGGGAUCUUCGGACCUCACGCUAUCAGAUGAGCCUAGGUCGGAUUAGCUAGUUGGUAGGGUAAAGGCCUACCAAGGCUACGAUCCGUAACUGGUCUGAGAGGAUGAUCAGUCACACUGGAACUGAGACACGGUCCAGACUCCGUACGGGAGCAGCAGUGGGGAAUAUUGGACAAGUGGGCGAAAGCCUGAUCCAGCCAUCGCCGCGUGUGUGAAGAGGUCUUGGAUUGUAAGUCUACGUUUAAGUUGGGAGGAGGCAAUUAACCUAAUACGUUAGUUGUUUAGACGUUACGACUAGAAUAAGCAACCGGCUAACUC
This 488-nucleotide ribosomal RNA is filed under the name uncultured soil bacterium. RNAcentral's name for it is "bacterial SSU rRNA". It matches the Rfam family "Bacterial small subunit ribosomal RNA", at positions 26 to 503 of the family's 1533-position model. The record is from RNAcentral.